Molecule: unclassified non-coding RNA, 499 nt
Filed under: uncultured Glomus
Lineage: Eukaryota; Fungi; Glomeromycota; Glomeromycetes; Glomerales; Glomeraceae
Description: SSU rRNA
Rfam family: Eukaryotic small subunit ribosomal RNA
Source: RNAcentral
CCAAUAGCGUAUAUUAAAGUUGCUGCAGUUAAAAAGCUCGUAGUUGAAUUUCGGGACUAAUAUGUCGGUCGUGCCUCGGUACGUACUGGUAUUUUUGGUUUCUACCUUCUGACGAACCUUGAUGUCAUUAAUUUGGUGUCUUGGGAAAUCAGGACUGUUACUUUGAAAAAAUUAGAGUGUUUAAAGCAGGCUCACGCUUGAAUACAUUAGCAUGGAAUAAUGAAAUAGGACGUUUGAUUCUAUUUUGUUGGUUUCUAGGAUCGACGUAAUGAUUAAUAGGGAUAGUUGGGGGCAUUAGUAUUCAAUUGUCAGAGGUGAAAUUCUUGGAUUUAUUGAAGACUAACUACUGCGAAAGCAUUUGCCAAGGAUGUUUUCAUUAAUCAAGAACGAAAGUUAGGGGAUCAAAGACGAUCAGAUACCGUCGUAGUCUUAACCAUAAACUAUGCCGACUAGGGAUCGGAUGAUGUUAAUUUUUUAAUGACUCAUUCGGCGCCUUACG